GAUUAUGGCUUAGGACGAACGCUGGCGGCGUGCCUAACACAUGCAAGUCGAGCGGGGACAUGCGACGGAUAGGAAGAUUCGGUUGGAAUUGAAGAUGCAUGUCUAGCGGCGGACGGGUGAGUAACGCGUGAGCAACCUGUCCCUUACAGGGGGAUAACACAGCGAAAGUUGUACUAAUACCGCAUAAGACCACGGGAGGACAUCCUUCAGGGGUCAAAGGAGGAAUCCGGUAAGGGGUGGGCUCGCGUCCGAUUAGAUAGUUGGUGAGGUAACGGCCCACCAAGUCGACGAUCGGUAGCCGACCUGAGAGGGUGAUCGGCCACAUUGGGACUGAGACACGGCCCAAACUCCUACGGGAGGCAGCAGUGGGGAAUAUUGGGCAAUGGGGGGAACCCUGACCCAGCAACGCCGCGUGAGGGAAGAAGGUUUUCGGAUCGUAAACCUCUGUCCUUGGUGAAGAGGAAGAGACGGUAGCCAAGGAGGAAGCCCCGGCUAACUACGUGCCAGCAGCAGC
This 514-nucleotide ribosomal RNA is filed under the name uncultured bacterium. RNAcentral's name for it is "bacterial SSU rRNA". It matches the Rfam family "Bacterial small subunit ribosomal RNA", at positions 15 to 518 of the family's 1533-position model. The record is from RNAcentral.